RNAcentral lists this ribosomal RNA (72 nucleotides) under Paenibacillus riograndensis. RNAcentral's name for it is "partial 16S ribosomal RNA". It matches the Rfam family "Bacterial small subunit ribosomal RNA", at positions 1 to 72 of the family's 1533-position model. Lineage: Bacteria; Bacillati; Bacillota; Bacilli; Caryophanales; Paenibacillaceae. The record is from RNAcentral.
CAAUUGGAGAGUUUGAUCCUGGCUCAGGACGAACGCUGGCGGCGUGCCUAAUACAUGCAAGUCGAGCGGAGU